AUUUAAAUAGUUUAUAUAAGAACAUGGCAUUGAAGAUGCUAAAGAACUUUUAGUUUUAAGUA
RNAcentral lists this transfer RNA (62 nucleotides) under Curculionidae sp. BMNH 1040049. Its description in RNAcentral is "tRNA-Phe". Lineage: Eukaryota; Metazoa; Arthropoda; Insecta; Coleoptera; Curculionidae. The record is from RNAcentral.